GAUCUUCUUCGGAAGAGAGCGGCGGACGGGUGAGUAACGCGUGGGUAACCUGCCCUGUACACACGGAUAACAUACCGAAAGGUAUGCUAAUACGGGAUAACAUAUGAGAGUUGCAUGACUUUCAUAUCAAAGCUUUUGCGGUACAGGAUGGACCCGCGUCUGAUUAGCUAGUUGGUAAGGUAACGGCUUACCAAGGCGACGAUCAGUAGCCGACCUGAGAGGGUGAUCGGCCACACUGGAACUGAGACACGGUCCAGACUCCUACGGGAGGCAGCAGUGGGGAAUAUUGCACAAUGGGCGAAAGCCUGAUGCAGCAACGCCGCGUGAGCGAUGAAGGCCUUCGGGUCGUAAAGCUCUGUCCUCAAGGAAGAUAAUGACGGUACUUGAGGAGGAAGCCCCGGCUAACUACGUGCCAGCAGCCGCGGUAAUACGUAGGGGGCUAGCGUUAUCCGGAAUUACUGGGCGUAAAGGGUGCGUAGGCGGUCUUUCAAGCCAGAAGUGAAAGGCUACGGCUCAACCGUAGUAAGCUUUUGGAACUGUAGGACUUGAGUGCAGGAGAGGAGAGUAGAAUUCCUAGUGUAGCGGUGAGAUGCGUAGAUAUUAGGAGGAAUACCAGUAGCGAAGGCGGCUCUCUGGACUGUAACUGACGCUGAGGCACGAAAGCGUGGGGAGCAAACAGGAUUAGAUACCCUGGUAGUCCACGCCGUAAACGAUGAGUACUAGGUGUCGGGGGUUACCCCCCUCGGUGCCGCAGCUAACGCAUUAAGUACUCCGCCUGGGAAGUACGCUCGCAAGAGUGAA
This 801-nucleotide ribosomal RNA is filed under the name uncultured bacterium. Its description in RNAcentral is "bacterial SSU rRNA". It matches the Rfam family "Bacterial small subunit ribosomal RNA", at positions 69 to 898 of the family's 1533-position model. The record is from RNAcentral.